This 68-nucleotide transfer RNA is filed under the name Arnoglossus polyspilus (many-spotted lefteye flounder). Its description in RNAcentral is "tRNA-Pro". It matches the Rfam family "tRNA". Rfam says of the family: Transfer RNA (tRNA) molecules are approximately 80 nucleotides in length. Their secondary structure includes four short double-helical elements and three loops (D, anti-codon, and T loops). Further hydrogen bonds mediate the characteristic L-shaped molecular structure. tRNAs have two regions of fundamental functional importance: the anti-codon, which is responsible for specific mRNA codon recognition, and the 3' end, to which the tRNAs corresponding amino acid is attached (by aminoacyl-tRNA synthetases). tRNAs cope with the degeneracy of the genetic code in two manners: having more than one tRNA (with a specific anti-codon) for a particular amino acid; and 'wobble' base-pairing, i.e. permitting non-standard base-pairing at the 3rd anti-codon position. Lineage: Eukaryota; Metazoa; Chordata; Actinopteri; Pleuronectiformes; Bothidae. The record is from RNAcentral.
CAGGGGGUAGUUUAAUAGAAUUCUAGCUUUGGGAGCUAGUGGUAGGAGUUUAACUCUCCUCUCCUUGA